RNAcentral lists this microRNA precursor (97 nucleotides) under Chlorocebus sabaeus (green monkey). RNAcentral describes it as "miRNA (ENSCSAG00000025178.1)". The record is from RNAcentral. Lineage: Eukaryota; Metazoa; Chordata; Mammalia; Primates; Cercopithecidae.
AGUGGCGCUUCUCGGGUGCUGUGCUUCACGCUUUGGUACUAAAGGCCGAGACUGUUCUGGCGACGGCGACCUCUACGGCAACAGCUUAAGCUCUCGG